GAUGAACGCUGGCGGCGUGCCUAAUACAUGCAAGUCGAGCGAAAAGACGAUGAGCUUGCUGCGCUCUCGUUAGCGGCGGACGGGUGAGAAACACGUGUAUCAUCUACCUAUCAUACUGGGAUAUUCUCGGGACACGGGAGAUAACAGCGGAUAAUAUCUUGCAGCGCAGGGUUCAAUAGUAAGUGACGGCGGUUGUGUCUCUAAUAGCUGCUUCUGGGCCGCAUUAGCUGGUAGUUAAGGUAACGGCUUACGAAGGCAACGAUGCGUAGCCGACGUGAGAGAGUGAUAGGCCACACUGGAACUGGGACGCGGACCAGAGUACUGAGGGAGGCAGCAGUAGGGAAUCUUACGCAGUAGGCGAAAGCCUGACGGAGCAACGGCACGUGAGUGAUGGAGGUCUUCGGUUCGUAAUACUGUCUUAUUAGGGAUGAACAGAUUUGGAAGUAACUGUGGCCGUCUUGACGGUACCGGAUCAGAAAGCCCCGGCUAACUACGUG
RNAcentral lists this ribosomal RNA (497 nucleotides) under uncultured bacterium. RNAcentral describes it as "partial 16S ribosomal RNA". It matches the Rfam family "Bacterial small subunit ribosomal RNA", at positions 28 to 507 of the family's 1533-position model. The record is from RNAcentral.